This 398-nucleotide ribosomal RNA is filed under the name uncultured bacterium. RNAcentral describes it as "partial 16S ribosomal RNA". It matches the Rfam family "Bacterial small subunit ribosomal RNA", at positions 360 to 776 of the family's 1533-position model. The record is from RNAcentral.
AAUAUUGCACAAUGGUGGAAACUCUGAUGCAGCGACGCCUCUUGAACGAUGAAUGCCUUCGGUUCGUAAAUUUCUGUCCUAGGGGACGUUAAUGCCGGUACCCUAGGAGGCAGCUCCGGCUAACUACGUGCCAGCAUCCGCGGUAAUACGUAGGGGGCGAGCGUUGUCCGGAAUUAUUGGGCGUAAAGGUCUCGUAGGCGGUCUUUUAAGUCAGAUGUGAAAGGUCACGGCUCAACCGUGGUAAGCAUUUGAAACUGAGAGACUUGAGUUAAGGAGAGGAAAGUGGAAUUCCUAGUGUAGCGGUGAAAUGCGUAGAUAUUAGGAGGAAUACCAGUGGCGAAGGCGACUUUCUGGACUUAAACUGACGCUGAGGAACGAAAGCGUGGGGAGCAAACAGG